GUGUAGAUAAACCAGUGUUUUGUGUGACUGAAUUCAUUCUUCACUCUCACUGGGUGCGAUUUCUUCCUGUUUUCCAGAAGCAUGACAGCUAGAAGUGGCAAUGACUUCCAGCUUGUUAUCCCUGAAAAAGGUGAAAGAGUUAAGAUUAAUCAUGGACCUGCUCUUGUUGUUUCGUGCCACUUGUCUCCUGCAAUCAGUGCUGCUGACAUGGACAUUACCUGGUAUAGCGAGACAUCUGUUGUGUGCGCUUAUAAGAAUCGAGAGGUGACACAGGGAGUUGGCUAUGAAGGAAGAGCCAAUCUGUUCAUCCAUGAUCUGGUGAGAGGGAAUGUGUCCUUACGAGUGGCAAACUUUACAGAGUCUGAUCUGGGAGUUUACAUGUGCCAGGUCACCAGUCAAAAUAAAACACAGCAGAUAACUGUCAAUGUAACAGAAGAAGAAUCUGCCAUUUUCAAGGAUCAGCACUUAUUCACAGUGGUAAGACA
Molecule: non-coding RNA, 485 nt
Organism: Danio rerio (zebrafish)
Lineage: Eukaryota; Metazoa; Chordata; Actinopteri; Cypriniformes; Danionidae
Source: Ensembl